AUAUCAAUAAGCGGAGGAAAAGAAACCAACAGGGAUUGCCUCAGUAACGGCGAGUGAAGCGGCAACAGCUCAAAUUUGAAAUCUGGCUCUUUCAGGGUCCGAGUUGUAAUUUGUAGAAGAUGCCUCGGGUGUGGCUCCGGUCUAAGUUCCUUGGAACAGGACGUCAUAGAGGGUGAGAAUCCCGUAUGUGACUGGCUGCCUUCGCCCAUGUGAAGCUCUUUCGACGAGUCGAGUUGUUUGGGAAUGCAGCUCAAAAUGGGUGGUAAAUUUCAUCUAAAGCUAAAUAUUGGCCAGAGACCGAUAGCGCACAAGUACUGUGAAGGAAAGAUGAAAAGAACUUUGAAAAGAGAGUCAAAAGACUUGAAAUCGUUGAGAAGGAAGCGGUAGAAAUUUAUUCUUCGGCAUUCAUCUUAGGUUUUCACUUAACUAUUCCGGAGCUAAGGUACGCAAGGCCUGGCGUUGGACUUGGGGAAGUGGGGCUGUGGUGGGUGUUGUGAGGCAAAAUGGGAUUGUAUUUCUGCAAAGGUGCUUGUCGCUUAGGGGGCUUCGGCUCUCAACGAUGGGUGUGCCGGUAGGGGUAUAGUCCGAGGGGCUUUGUGCGAUUUUGCCAAAAUGGUUUUUACCGA
Molecule: ribosomal RNA, 626 nt
Filed under: uncultured fungus
Lineage: Eukaryota; Fungi
Description: eukaryotic LSU rRNA
Rfam family: Eukaryotic large subunit ribosomal RNA
Source: RNAcentral